GGCGAACGGGUGAGUAACACGUGGGCAACCUGCCCCUCGCAGGGGGACAACCGGAGGAAACUCCGGCUAAUACCCCGUACGCUUGUUGGAUCGCAUGGUCCGACAAGGAAAGGUAGCUUCGGCCAUCCGGCGAGGGAUGGGCCCGCGUUGCAUUAGCUAGUUGGUGGGGUAACGGCCUACCAAGGCGACGAUGCGUAGCUGGUCUGAGAGGAUGAUCAGCCACACUGGGACUGAGACACGGCCCAGACUCCUACGGGAGGCAGCAGCCAGGAAUCUUGGGCAAUGGGCGAAAGCCUGACCCAGCAACACCGUGUGGGUGACGAAGGCCUUAGGGUCGUAAAGCCCUGUUGAUAGGGACGAAGGGCGAAGGGUUAAUAGCCCCUAGCUUGACGGUACCUUUCGAGGAAGCCCCGGCUAACUACGUGCCAGCAGCCGCGGUAAUACGUAGGGGGCGAGCGUUGUCCGGAAUUAUUGGGCGUAAAGAGCGUGUAGGCGGUUCGGUAAGUCUGCUGUGAAAUCCUGGGGCUCAACCCUGGGCGUGCAGCGGAUACUGCCGGGCUAGAGGGUGGUAGAGGCGAGUGGAAUUCCGAGUGUAGCGGUGAAAUGCGCAGAUAUUCGGAGGAACACCAGUAGCGAAGGCGGCUCGCUGGGCCACACCUGACGCUGAGACGCGAAAGCGUGGGGAGCGAACAGGAUUAGAUACCCUGGUAGUCCACGCCGUAAACGAUGGAUACUGGGUGUGGGCGGAGUCGAAUCUGUCUGUGCCGAAGUUAACGCGUUAAGUAUCCCGCCUGGGGAGUACGGCCGCAAGGCUAAAACUCAAAAGAAUUGACGG
This 835-nucleotide ribosomal RNA is filed under the name uncultured bacterium. Its description in RNAcentral is "bacterial SSU rRNA". It matches the Rfam family "Bacterial small subunit ribosomal RNA", at positions 97 to 916 of the family's 1533-position model. The record is from RNAcentral.